AUGGCGGCGGCGUGCAGCUUGUCGGGAUACGACUACAACACCAAUGUGUGGCAGUUCGAAGGCUAUGGGUAUGUCCCCUCGGGCACGACCUGGGUGUCCAUCAUGCAGUUGUUCGGCGUCGGCGAGACGGCUACCACACUCAUCCUGCACGUCUACGAUGGCGCGGUGCGGUACUACGACCGUCAUAUUGUUGAGGAUGCCAUCUAUGACAGGUGGUUCUGGCUAAACGUGGUCCAUGAUGUGGAGGCGUCGACACUCACCGUGUACAUUGACGGCCAGGGCGGCGACUCACACUACUUCAAGUUCAACGUGUACACACAGAACCUCGACUCCACCUACAUGGAGUCCCGCUGGAAGGGUGUCAGGAUUCUGAAGAAAGAAUUAUCACAUUGA
RNAcentral lists this ribosomal RNA (393 nucleotides) under Triticum aestivum (bread wheat). RNAcentral's name for it is "partial small subunit ribosomal RNA". The record is from RNAcentral. Lineage: Eukaryota; Viridiplantae; Streptophyta; Magnoliopsida; Poales; Poaceae.